CGGUUCGCGGUGUCCUGGCGGUCAGCACGCAGGGUCCCUCGCAGCCAGCCUCGCGGCCCACCACGUCUCGGUGCCCACAGCGGUGACGCUUGAGUGGCAACUACCGUCAGGCCCACAGAGCUUAGCAGGUGGCGGAUCGGGGAAGCUGUGUCACUUCACAGAGGGUGACUGCGUGAGGGGGCGAAGCGGCUCGAGGUGACAUCGCAAGUCCAUUGACCCGCUGUGGUCCUGCAGGUGCUUCAGGGUCUCUGAGGAGCCUUGGAAUCUCAAAGAUGUCCUUCUAGGGUUAAUGGGAAAAGCACUUACCUAUCAAAUUCUGCCCCCUGAUGGUCAAGGGUGGCCUCACAGAUGCUUUUGUGCCUGCAGUCUGCCGCAGCGGGCAUCUCACUCAGAAUAUGGGAGAAGCCGGACUGCAGGAAUGAGCUCCAGUCUUUCCUUGAGAGGGAGACCAGGUGAUGACAGCCAUGAUCCCAUCGGUUUGGCCCCAGGGCCUGAGCCAUGGAAUUGGCCCUAGGGCAGCAAGAACCUGUUGUUUCAGAAGUCGGUGACCUUUGAGGAUGUGGCUGUGUACUUCACGCAGACGGAGUGGGAUGGUCUGUCCCCUGAACAGAGAGCAUUGUACAGGGAUGUCAUGCU
This 636-nucleotide long non-coding RNA is filed under the name Rattus norvegicus (Norway rat). Its description in RNAcentral is "long non-coding RNA NONRATT014682". The record is from RNAcentral. Lineage: Eukaryota; Metazoa; Chordata; Mammalia; Rodentia; Muridae.